RNAcentral lists this long non-coding RNA (1713 nucleotides) under Pongo abelii (Sumatran orangutan). RNAcentral's name for it is "lncRNA (ENSPPYG00000035231.1)". The record is from RNAcentral. Lineage: Eukaryota; Metazoa; Chordata; Mammalia; Primates; Hominidae.
CUGGAGUCAUAAUGUCAUAAAGAGUAAAGAUAAACUUUCUUAUUAAAAACUGGUUUUAGGUCCAAAUAAUGAAGAUGUAGAAAAACAACCUACAGUCCCAUUAUAACAUUUUGAAAUUCAUUUAUAAAAAAUUUACAGCAGCUGUAAAGUUUCAGUAUCAUAAGGACAACGUGAUCCUACAAACAGCCAAAGGAUGUAGACAAGAUGUUUUUCUGUCUUCCAAAUAACACAAACUGAAAAGAAAAGCCUUUGCUUUCCCUUGGCCACAUAAAAAUAAUAUUUCCACACUACUGGUUAAUAACCCCAAGAAACCUUUGCUUCUCUUAGUCAAUUUGCUCAUUAUGGCUACAAGACUACAGCUCAACAUCACAAGCCCAGAAGAAAUGCUGGUAAGACAUCAAUCUGAGCAUUUCCCGAGACCCAAUCACAACAUUUCAGUGCUUUCCUUAUUCGUCAAGAGCUAUCAUACCAGUCAUUGUGCAAAAUGCAAAUAUUCCAAUGAUUAUUUCAGUACAUUUCUUAAACAACAAGAUGAAACCCAAGAGGAAUGGGAGUGUGCAUAGUGAAAUAUUUAAGAUGCAAAGGCAAGUUUGGAGGGAAGAUGCAGAAAUAAACGAACGUGCACACUUAAAGAUUAUACAAUCUUUGGGGUUUUUCUAAUAUACUUUGAAGCUAUAACAUUCCAGGAUAUUUGUAAAUAUGAAUCCAGUAGAUGUCUUGUAUCAUGCUUCUAACCAGGACCUUCAAUAUUAAGGCAUUUACAUUCACGCCUAAGAGUAUCCACAUUCUUCUAGAUUACUUGAAGAGGGACAGGACUGAUGAACAGAAACCAGUCAAGAAGGCAGGGUACUGAGGUCCCAGGAGAGCAUCUCUUAUGCUCUAAUGUAGCAGCUGGAGUCUAUAGAUUUUUUUUCAGAUGCAGGUAAUAGUUGUGAGAAGCAAUGCUGCAAGAGAGGCAGAGUUAAAUUGUACAGUGUCUUUAAAUCAUUUUAUCCCACUCAUGCUACUGCAGGUGAUCUGGAAAAGCCCAUCUUCGUUUCACUGAAUUAAAACGACUUUUUCAAUACGUGUAUUGGUUUGUUAAAACCAUAGGUUCCUGUGCAAAGACUAUGAACCAUAGAAGCUUCAAGAUGGAGGUUUAACUAUUACAAGAUGAAUCUUUCACUUCUGAAUAGGGACACACAUUUUCAACUUAAUAAUUUAUCUUAAAAUAAAUUAAAAAAUGUUCCAUAGCGCAAAACAAGCACACAAACAAUAGACAAUAUCUUUUUGUCUUUGGUGCACUCACUCAUUUCCUAAAUCAUUCAAGUAACAGCAUCUCUGACUUCUUGGGGAAAGAUGGGAGUUGAAGGUUUGAAGGCCAAAAUGAAUUAUUUCCACUUUGCCAUGCCUGGAUGCCUGAGAUGGUCCUGAGUAUCUGUGAUUCUGGGAGCAGCUGGUAGAGAUUCAGAACGAGUAAGAAAAGUGCAGGAGUAAACCAAGGGGUAGAAGAACCAGCCCUGCAUUGGUCCUUUGAGCCCAGUCUUCAGUAGGGGCAUUUCUUUGUUUUCAUGCCCACACAGAGAACACUAAACAUAAUGCAGAGGUUUAAAAUUCUUUAGAUGGUGCUCAGAAAGCAAGGCUACCACUUAUUCCUGUUAGCCUGACAGUCCACUUGGUGCUGCUCAACUACAAUAAUGGAAGAAAAUGCUCUUCAAAAAGAAAUGAAAUAAA